This 253-nucleotide ribosomal RNA is filed under the name uncultured bacterium. RNAcentral's name for it is "partial 16S ribosomal RNA". It matches the Rfam family "Bacterial small subunit ribosomal RNA", at positions 524 to 776 of the family's 1533-position model. The record is from RNAcentral.
UACAGAGGGGGCAAGCGUUGUUCGGAAUUACUGGGCGUAAAGGGCGCGUAGGCGGCGGGUCAAGUCGAGUGUGAAAGCCCCGGGCUCAACCUGGGAGGUGCGCUCGAGACUGGUCUGCUAGAGUUCGGGAGAGGAGCGUGGAAUUCCCAGUGUAGAGGUGAAAUUCGUAGAUAUUGGGAAGAACACCGGUGGCGAAGGCGGCGCUCUGGACCGAGACUGACGCUGAGGCGCGAAAGCGUGGGGAGCGAACAGG